ACUCCCUGUCGAUUACGUAAUGUUUAGUUCCAUCCGAUCCCACUUCCAGUUUGCAGUUGUUGUGCCCUGUCUCGUGUCAGUGGCAUUCCUUGGUAUAGUAUGAAAAGAGGUUACCUUCUUGUUCGGGCUCUUUUUGGAUCCUCCCUAAGGAAGAAAAGGAAUUUGAACCAGAUGAAGGAUCCUUUAGACGUCUGGACCUUAAGUUAUCAGAGAAGCAAGGCUUGCAGACCUUCCGUGAAGUCCUUUGUCUGUCCGACAGCGUGGGAGAAGCAGUGAUUGUUAAGGGAGAAGAUGUUCUGCAGGACCUUGCUGCUCAUCAUCCUGACUUUCAUGGUAUGGUCCGAGAAAUUGACCACCAGAGAUCAGGGCGGUUCCAAGAUUAUAAGUUUGGAAAUACCGAACGAAACCGACCUUUCUAGAGCAAACAUUAAGUGUUUUCGCCUGAAAGAUGGUGAGGUUUUCUUUGUAGUGCAAAACGGUGAACGAGCGCCAUCUUCAAACAAGUAUAAGGGACGAGUUAACUGCACAAGAAACGGUGGCAGACUGGAUAUUGAUCUGUCAAACUUCACAAACGAUGACGAGGGAAAAUACAGGUGUCAUUUUUUUAAAUCGUUAGGUAAGUUGACUCACUGGAACUUUAUUGUUUAGGUUCAUUCACUCAAGCUAUUUAAUUAAAGAAAAAACAUGCACUAACACAGAUUUCCCCCAAUAGAGAAUUUUGUCCUCACCCUACCAACACCCGGUCCUCUAGCUGCUGAAGGUGAGCCAACAUGGUGAAUAUCUAACAAUAUGUCAUACUCUGUCCAUUAUAUUCACAUAAGAAUCUGAUUUCUAAGAACUACUGUACCACAUAUCAAUAAUGCAACUUUGACAAGAAUUGUCAAUUGAGUACAGCGUUAGUUCGGACAGGCCACAAAGUCAAACUUAGCUCUCAAUUCCAGCUCCCUCAGCUGAUCACAGCUGAACCCAUAUGUUCCCUGUUUAUCUGCUUGAGUUGUGACAUAAACUGAUUUUAAUUCUCAUGACGCUGAAAAAAUAGACUCUGAUCACAAAGAUGAAAUUGAAGGAGGGGGAGACUUCCAGCCUUUUGUGCUUCAUGCAAUGUAUGUAUGAUAAAUAUUAUGUUGUCACAUUUUGGGAUUGAUGAAAUGAGAAACUAUACAUGUACCAAUAUGAAACCUUAGUGUGCUGAGUCAACUCAGUUAAAUUCUACUGAUUAGGUUCAUUUCAUUAAGUUAUUUAACUAAAAGGGAAAACAUGUAAAUGUGACUGUAACACUAACACAAAUUUCCCCCAUAGAAAGUAAUACUGUGGAUGUGCCCCUCACCACACCAACAUCUGGACCAGCAGCUGCUGACGGUGAGCCAACACAGUGUAGAAAUAAUGUUCAAGUACAACACAGCCACCAGUGGGUCCAACAAAGUAUUGGAUUGGAGUUGUAGUAUUAGUAUUAGUAUUAGUAGCUGUAGUAGUUUAUUUCAAUAGAGACAAACUACCCAAAAGAGACCAACUACUCCACUGGUGGAGAGAUCAACAUGUAGAAGAUCAAGCCCAGCCUGAAGGCACUGAGCUACAGAAUCUGAAUGGAGAAGUUCCCCCAUCUGAAACUGGAAAUGGAAGAAGCCCGACUGAAGAGAGAGAUGACUCGUCCAUAGCUGAGACCAAGGUCUGAUGCAGCUCAAACAAGAAUGUCACCUCUUUUCUCAUCACAUUCCCACUGCAGUGUUGGUUUUGAAGCAGUGGGCAUGUGUCAGUUUUGGUGUUACAUUUACUGUACUGUAAGCUGUGAUCAGAAAACCAGUUCUGAGAAACCCGCUGUACACUGACACACAGCACCUAAAACAGUAACGAGCUGCUAAAGAAAGUGAAGAAUCUAACCAGACACCCUCAUCCAGUCCAACAUUACAGAACACAAUUGUUAACAAGCCUUUUUUCUUACCUCAAAUUUAGCUCACUCAGUAGAGCUGCAGAGUUUCAUACGUGUAUGAAUUAGCAGCAAAGCACACUCAGUGUGGGACUCUUCCGGUUGGUGAAGUUUCUAAUAAUGAAGUUUCUCCUUGCCAGUGUAGUUGUUGUAGUAGGUGGUCAUGGUGGGAAUUCUAAAUUUGCACUAUAUGAAAAGGCUCCUGAAAUAAUAUCUGACUAUGGUUUGGUCCUACAUAAAUAAAACUGAAUUUAAUUAAUUCAUUUUCUAAUUAUGCACAUCUGCCUUAAAGGACCAGUAUGUAAGAUUUAGUGGCAUCUAGCACUGUAGUUGCAGAUUGCAACUCACUCGCUUCAUCCUCCGUUUAAAAAGUGUUGAAACUACGGUGGCUGUGAAAAACACAAACGGCCCUAUCAAGUGUCAGUGUUUAGUUUGUCCGUUCUGGGCUACUGUAGAAGCGUUGUGGUUCAACAUGUAAUUCUAAUGGAACAAGAACAUCCUGUGGAUAUUAUAAUCCAUUUGUGCCAUUAGAUCCUCUUGAAUGUUACACACUGAGCCUUUUAGCAAUGUUUACACUAUUUUUGAAUAUGAAGUUUUUAAUAGGAAGCCUGUGAUGCUCCAAAGUAUAAUGUGAAAACAUUAUUGACUAUUUUUAUAAAAGUUCAAUAAGAAGAAGGAUGAGUUCUCUUUUUUCUUCAUUUAGUAAUUUUUAAUUGGAUGAUUAGAUUAAAUAAAAUGUGUAUAUUUUUACAAUCUUCAAUAA
This is an RNA transcript of Dicentrarchus labrax (European seabass), 2687 nucleotides long. RefSeq lists it as uncharacterized. The transcript has 6 exons. Lineage: Eukaryota; Metazoa; Chordata; Actinopteri; Moronidae. The record is from RefSeq and is a predicted model, not a curated record.